Molecule: ribosomal RNA, 465 nt
Filed under: uncultured Clostridiaceae bacterium
Lineage: Bacteria; Bacillati; Bacillota; Clostridia; Eubacteriales; Clostridiaceae
Description: bacterial SSU rRNA
Rfam family: Bacterial small subunit ribosomal RNA
Source: RNAcentral
AGGCUCUUGAUCCUGGCUCAGGAUGAACGCUGGCGGCGUGCCUAACACAUGCAAGUCGAGCGAUUCUCUUAGGAGAAGAGCGGCGGACGGGUGAGUAACGCGUGGGUAACCUGCCCUGUACACACGGAUAACAUACCGAAAGGUAUGCUAAUACGGGAUAACAUAUUUUGAUGGCAUCAUCGAAAUAUCAAAGCUCCGGCGGUACAGGAUGGACCCGCGUCUGAUUAGCUAGUUGGUGAGGUAAUGGCUCACCAAGGCGACGAUCAGUAGCCGACUGAGAGGGUGAUCGGCCACAUUGGAACUGAGACACGGUCCAAACUCCUACGGGAGGCAGCAGUGGGGAAUAUUGCACAAUGGGCGAAAGCCUGAUGCAGCAACGCCGCGUGAGCGAUGAAGGCCUUCGGGUCGUAAAGCUCUGUCCUCAAGGAAGAUAAUGACGGUACUUGGGGAGGAAGCCCCGGCAUA